CAGUUUCCAGAAAUGCUCAGGGGCUGGGGAUUCCCCACCUGUGCAGAACCAAGUAGGCAACUUCUGACAGGGAAGCAGCCGCCUUCAGGCUUGCCCUUGUCACAGGGCCCUGACACUGAGGGUGUGGGGGCCGGGAGCUGCCCUGGGUGAAAACACCACAGACUCUCAUUGGUCUCCCUCAGCCUCAGAUGCUCCUCGGUGGGUUGUGUGCCUUCGGUCUCUUGGCAGAGUGCUGACCUGGUGGUUUUCUGCCGGCUUCUCCAGUGUGGUCAUUGCUGUGCGGGAGGCGGAUUUGCUGAAUUCCUCGCUCCACCAUUCCGUGUGUCCUGCCAGCCCACCCUGAGGACGUUUGGAAGGCACAUCCUUCCAGCAAUCUGAGCACCCAAGAUGGAGACUCCGGGGCCUGGAGGAUUUUGAGAAGAGCUGGUGGGAAGGCAGUACUGCAAAGCUUUUUGCUUCCGGAAAGCUCUCUGGGGUCCUCAGCAUUUUCCUGUUUUGCAUCAAAAUCCUGAGAUCUUGAAAAUGCCAGCAAGCAGAGGAGCCGUGCACGUCUUCUCUCCAUUCUUUCCUGUGCAUGACUGGCCUCCUCUGUUCAGAAGCGGAUUGCUGGUGCUCAUCACUCCCCCUCACCCGAGAGAUGGCCGUCUUCCAUGUCACACAGCAGAUGUGAACCGCGGGGACAAGGGUCACGCCAGGUCACACUCACUGGCUGGGUGCUGUGCAGGCUCUGAUCCUUGUCCAACAGUCCCUGAGGACGGCAGCCUUUUCCCCACGCCUGCCGCUACGCUGUUCCUGCCCAGCUUCUCUUCCCUCGGGGAGCUGGACUCCGUGUCCCGAGUGGACCUCUGCAAAGACAGUGACCAACAGUCAGCCCAGAAGCAUCAGAGCCCUGCUCAGCUGCCUCUGCUCUUUCUUCUGCCCUCUGCGCCUAAUGCUCCCACAUCAGGCACCACCCUGUGUCUGCGCAGAAUUCUCCCCAGGAUGAAACAGAUAGACCUCAGGGGCUCGGGAGAAACCUCGGGCAGACGGUGCUGCCCGGCACUCCACGUCCCACCUGAUCAGCCAUGAGCUGGGGUGGGAAUGGGACCGGCCCACCAGGCUUCUAACCCCUCAUCAGCCUGCUCCUCCUCGUGGUGGUCCACUCACACAAACCACCCUUCCACCCCCCCCCCACACACACAGGGAGGGGGCGUAGGGCUGUCCAAGUGAGACCACAUUGGUGGCCUGGCCUUGAUUUCCCACCCUGGCCGUCCCCGUGUUACCUUUGUGUCCCUCCACACAAACGUCCUGAGAUGUCUCGAGCGGGACAGGAGCCCGCAUCUGCAUCCUGGGCACUCCUUGCGGGCUCUGCUGAGGCUGCGGCCCUGGCACAUGGGAAGACAACAGGAAAUCAUGGUGCUCCUUCUAGACGACUGCUAGAUGAGUGAGCUGUUGGGGGCUGUCUCUAGGAGCUGGGAACUUAAUGCUCAGGAAUUGUACAAUUUAAAAGGAGAAAACACAGAUGUCUUAAAAUAUAAAUCCAUAAAUCUAUUUCAAGGUGACACAAACACCACAACAAGACAAGAAAAUGAAAAUUAGAAACGGCUACACAGAUAUACAGGUUAAGGUGGGAGACGAAGGGAGGUUGUGGUGAGGAAGAAGGUGAAAGGGAUGGGUCAGGAGCUGGGGAUGAUGGGCGUUGGAGAGUGAGCUCUCCCGAGGACAGGGCUGGGGCAUGAGCAGGCUCCAGGAUUCCAGGAGGAUGUGGAGCAGGGGAUGGCUGUCCGUGGUCUCCAGCUGUGGCUUCAGCUGGCUCGCUAGCCCCAGCAGGAGGCAGAUCAGUGGAUGGCUCUUUCUGGACCGUGGCUGGGGCUUCAGCAGUCUCCCAGGCACAGGCAGAAUCUGGAGCAGGGGAUGGCUCUCCCUCUUCCCUGGCUGCGACUUCAGCUUGCUCCUGGGCCCUGGCAGGAGCUGGAGCAGGGCAUGGCUCUCCCUGCUCCAUGGCUGAGUCUUCAGCCAGGCCAGAGUCCCAGCAGGAGCCGGAGCAGGGGAUGGCUCUCCCAGCUCCUGGGCCCUGUCUUCAGCUGGCUCCACAGCCCAGCAGGAGCUGAAAAGUCAAAGCCCGUGUCUUUCCAGUGCUGGCAGUCCCCCUCUCCCUCUCCCAAGCUCCGCUCACAAAGCCAACCUGUGGCUGUGACAGCAGUGCCCGGCUGUCCCCUGCCCUGGAUUACAAUGGGCACAGAUAUAUUGGGGGGUUUCCUGCCAACCUCUGCCCAGUGUCCACUCACAGAGUGGCAUCAAAACUUCCUCAGUCCCAGGACUGGCGUGCUCUGCUCUCAUCUGCGAGCUCCCCAAGGUCCCCUCUCUUAGCUGGGGCUGGGGAGGACCCUACAUGUCCCCACAUCCAGACCCAGUGGCUCAGAAAGGUGGCCCAAGAUGGCCAUGGGGUCCUAAAGGUCAGCCUGGGAGAUGCUGCCAGGAGGGUCCUGUGGUAGGUGGGCAAGUUUCUCUUGGUGCCAUCAGCUUGGGGUGGGGGCCACGACUUUCCUGUCUCUCCAGAGCCUUCUCUGCUGACCUCCAUGGCUUCCUCUGUCACCUCACAGGGGAUGAGCCCCACCAGACCCUGCAUUUCCUUGUGGACACCACACUGGUCACCGAGGCCAUGCUGCCCGGUGGGGAGGCCACAGUGGGCAUCUCUGAGUUCCCCAGCUCCCUCUCUUCCACCAGAGGCCUGUGGCCUGCAGAGGGUGGGAGGGGAGCCUGCUGGUGCUUGGGGGGCUCUGGAACCCCUGAAUCUUGAGAGUUGAGGUGUGCACACCUCUCCAGCUUGGAUGAGUGCCUGGGCAGAGGGCAGUGGCAUGGGCAGCACCUCUUGGGGGACUUGGGAGACCCCCGUGGAGGAUGGAGAUGCAGAGCCAGCCCCGCCCAACUCUCUGUGGGUGAGGACUGGGGCUGAGGGAGAAGGAGGUUUGUAGGGAACCAGGGGAGCCCAUGCCGAGGGUGGAGCCAGAGCAGACAUUUCUAAUUGGAGUGAGGGAAGCGGUGCCCAGGGCUCCCCCUGUCCCUGCCUCUCCCCUCCUUGGCUUUCACCACUCUGGACUGUACAGGGAUGGGGUGGGCGAGGGGCGAGGGGUGGGGGUAGUGUAGACGGUUUGAGCUUUUCUCACCAGGGAGAGGCACAGAGGCAAAGACACAAGCUCAGAGCCAAGGUGGUGGCUCCCAGCGCCCACUCACCCCGCCUCUCGGCAGCCUGGCCCAGGAACCCCGUUUCCCUCCCUGUGCCGCCUGCCUCCCCACCCUGAGCCCAGAGACCCUCAGCCCCCAUGGGGCAUCUUCCUCAGGCCUCCCUGAGCCAGGCUGCCCUCAGGGUCUGCCUUUGCCUGGAGGAAACGUGGUAAUGGGCUCUUGGGCCUGAACAUGGGAUCAAGGGUCACCCAAGAUGGCAGCGCCCAGCAUGGGAUUUCUCUGACAUUUUCUUCAUGUCACACAAGGGACCUGAGCUCCACGUGGGCAGGAAACAUAUUGGGUUUUGCUCCCUGGUGAAGUUACAGUGCUGGGCACACAAGCAGGGAAUAGAGGCCACUGGCUGAAUGAUUAAAAGAAUGAAUUCCUACCUGAACGAAUGAACGGAUGAGGAACAAGUGAAGGCCUGAAUGAAUGAAUGACUGGAUGAAUGAGUGAGUGAGUGAGGCCAUGAGUGAAUGAGUGGAUGAAUAAGCCAGUGAACGGAAACACAGACGCCGCGAUGCAAACGGGAGGAGGCUCUAUUUCUUGUCCUGGGGCCUCUGCCCAGCUCAAGGGCCCAGCCAGUCCCUGGCGCUCCUGGCCUCCGUUUCCCCACUGUCCCCUGAGGGGCGGGUGGUGGGGCUGCAGCAGCCCAGCUUGGCAUGGCCAUGGCCGGGAUCUCCCCGCGGGCUGUGGCGGGGACGCGCUCGGGGCCGCACGGCCUCCCUCCAGCGGCGGACAUGGGCGGA
Molecule: long non-coding RNA, 3953 nt
Organism: Equus caballus (horse)
Lineage: Eukaryota; Metazoa; Chordata; Mammalia; Perissodactyla; Equidae
Source: Ensembl